CCAGCAGCCGCGUUAAUUCCAGCUCCAAUAGCGUAUAUUUAAGUUGCUGCAGUUAAAAAGCUCGUAGUUGGAUUUCGGGUGGGGCCUGCCGGUCCGCCGUUUCGGUGUGCACUGGCAGGGCCCACCUUGUUGCCGGGGACGGGCUCCUGGGCUUCACUGUCCGGGACUCGGAGUCGGCGCUGUUACUUUGAGGAAAUUAGAGUGUUUCAAGCAGGCAUACGCCUUGAAUACAUUAGCAUGGAAUAAUAAUAUAGGACUUCGGUUCUAUUUUGUUGGUUUCGAGAACUGAAGUAAUGAUUAAUAGGGACAGUCGGGGGCAUUCGUACUCAACAGUCAGAGGUGAAAUUCUUGGAUUUGUUGGAGACGAACUACUGCGAAAGCAUUUGCCAAGGAUGUUUUCAUUGAUAAAGAACGAAAGU
RNAcentral lists this ribosomal RNA (419 nucleotides) under uncultured eukaryote. RNAcentral's name for it is "SSU rRNA". It matches the Rfam family "Eukaryotic small subunit ribosomal RNA", at positions 567 to 990 of the family's 1831-position model. The record is from RNAcentral.